UACGUAGGGGGCGAGCGUUGUCCGAAUUUACUGGGCGUAAAGAGCUCGUAGGCGGUUUGUCGCGUCUGCUGUGAAAACUCGGGGCUCAACUCCGAGCUUGCAGUGGGUACGGGCAGACUAGAGUGCGGUAGGGGAGACUGGAAUUCCUGGUGUAGCGGUGGAAUGCGCAGAUAUCAGGAGGAACACCGGUGGCGAAGGCGGGUCUCUGGGCCGUAACUGACGCUGAGGAGCGAAAGCAUGGGGAGCGAACAGG
Molecule: ribosomal RNA, 253 nt
Filed under: uncultured bacterium
Lineage: Bacteria
Description: partial 16S ribosomal RNA
Rfam family: Bacterial small subunit ribosomal RNA
Source: RNAcentral